Non-coding RNA from Danio rerio (zebrafish), 45 nucleotides. The record is from Rfam. Lineage: Eukaryota; Metazoa; Chordata; Actinopteri; Cypriniformes; Danionidae.
ACAAAGGCUCUUUUAAGAGCCACCCACUGUCGCCUUUAAAAGAGC